CUACAGAUUUAUUGUAAUCCCCACCAAAAUUCCAAUGACACUUUUCACAGAAAUAGAAAAACAAUCCUAAAAUUUAUAUGGAACCACUAAACACCCCAAAUAGCAAGUAAUCUUGAGCAAAAAACAAAGAUGGAGGCAUCACACUACCUGACUUCAAAAGAUACUACAAAGCUUUAGUAUCAAAACAACAUGGCAUAAAAACAGACACAUAGAUCAAUGGACCAUAAUAGAGUCCUGAAAUAAAUCUGUACAUUUACAGAUAAUUGAUUUUUGACAAAGGUGCCAAGAACAAACUGAUAUGGUUAGGCUUUGUGUCCCCACCCAAAUCUCAACUUGAAUUGUAAUUCCCCUAAUCCCCGUGUGUCAAGGGAGAGAGCAGGUGGAGGUAAUUGAAUCAUGUGGGUAGUUUCCCCCAUACUGUUCUCAUUAUAGUGAGUGAGUUCUCGGGAGAUCUGAUGGUUUUAUAAGGGACUCUUCCUCCUUCACUCAGUAUUCUUCUUCCUGCCGCCUUUGAAGAAGGUGCCUUGCUUCCCCUUUGCCUUCCACCAUAAUUAUAAGUUUCCUGGGGCCUCCCCAGCCAUACUGAACUGUGAGUCAAUUAAACUUCUUUCCUUUAUAAAUUACCCAGUACUGGGCAGUUCUUUAUAGCAGUAUUAAAACGGACUAAUACACAAACAAAGGGGAAAGUACAGUCUCUUCAAUAAAUUGUGCUGGGAAAACUGUGUAUCUAAAUGCAGAAGAACGAAAUUGGACACUUAUCUCAUACCAGAUACAAAAAGCAAUCAACUCAAAAUAGAUUAAAGGCCUCAAUGUAAGGCAUGAAACUGUAAAACUAACAGAGCAGGGGAAAAACUUCAUGAUAUUGGACUAGAUAAUGAUUUAUGCACUAUGACAACAGAAGCAUCGACAAUAAAAGGAAAAAUAGAAAAAUGAGAAUGUGUCAGACUAAAAUAUUUCUGCACAGCAAAGGAAAUAACAGAGUGAAAAUGUAU
This is a long non-coding RNA of Sapajus apella (tufted capuchin), 992 nucleotides long. RefSeq lists it as uncharacterized. The transcript has 3 exons. The record is from RefSeq and is a predicted model, not a curated record. NCBI's taxonomy places the organism in Eukaryota, Metazoa, Chordata, Mammalia, Primates, Cebidae.